UACGGGGGGGGUAAGCGUUGUUCGGAAUUACUGGGCGUAAAGGGCGCGUAGGCGGCUGCUCAAGUCGGGUGUGAAAGCCCGGGGCUCAACCCCGGAACGGCACCCGAGACUGGGCGGCUCGAGACCGGGAGAGGUGGGUGGAAUACCCAGUGUAGAGGUGAAAUUCGUAGAUAUUGGGUGGAACACCGGUGGCGAAAGCGGCUCACUGGCCCGGUUCUGACGCUGAGGCGCGAAAGCGUGGGGAGCAAACAGG
Molecule: ribosomal RNA, 253 nt
Filed under: uncultured bacterium
Lineage: Bacteria
Description: partial 16S ribosomal RNA
Rfam family: Bacterial small subunit ribosomal RNA
Source: RNAcentral